CGCGAUAAGUAGUGUGAAUUGCAGAAUUCAGUGAAUCAUCGAAUCUUUGAACGCACAUGGCGCCCCCCGGUAUCCCGGGGGGCAUGCCUGUCCGAGCGUCGUUUCAACCCUCGGGCUCUCUGUAGCCCGGCGUUGGGGACCUACGCGCCGACGUAGACCCCUAAAAGCAGUGGCGGACCCGCGCCGGCCCCCCCUUUGCGUAGUAGCAUCAGCCUCGCAUCGGGAGCCCGCGGGACCUCCGGCCUCUAAACCCCCCCAAAGCCCGCUCCGGCGGCACCAAGGUUGACCUCGGAUCAGGUAGGAAUACCCGCUGAACUUAAGCAUAUCAAUAAGCGGAGGAAAAGAAACCAACAGGGAUUGCCUCAGUAACGGCGAGUGAAGCGGCAACAGCUCAAAUUUGAAAUCUGGCUCCCUUGGGGGUCCGAGUUGUAAUUUGCAGAGGAUGCCUCGGGUGCGGGUUCCUUCCGAGUUCCCUGGAACGGGACGCCAUAGAGGGUGAGAGCCCCGUCUGGUCGGAAACCCAGCCCGUGUGAGGCUCCCUCGACGAGUCGAGUAGUUUGGGAAUGCUGCUCUAAGGGGAGGUAUACUCCUUCCAAGGCUAAAUACCGGCUAGAGACCGAUAGCGCACAAGUAGAGUGAUCGAAAGAUGAAAAGCACUUUGAAAAGAGAGUCAAAUAGCACGUGAAAUUGCUGAAAGGGAAGCGCUUAUUACCAGACUUGGGUUCGGCGGUUCAACCGGCGCCACGCGCCGGGGCACUCCGCCGGCCCAGGCCAGCAUCAGCUUUCCGUCGGGGGCAAAGGCGUCGGGAAUGUAGCUCCCCCUCGG
This 826-nucleotide ribosomal RNA is filed under the name fungal sp. F538. RNAcentral describes it as "eukaryotic LSU rRNA". The stretch from base 284 to 826 matches the Rfam family "Eukaryotic large subunit ribosomal RNA", at positions 1 to 550 of the family's 3401-position model. The record is from RNAcentral. Lineage: Eukaryota; Fungi.